Molecule: ribosomal RNA, 276 nt
Filed under: uncultured prokaryote
Description: partial 16S ribosomal RNA
Rfam family: Bacterial small subunit ribosomal RNA
Source: RNAcentral
GACGAACCGUCCAAACGUUAUUCGGAAUUACUGGGCUUAAAGGGUGCGUAGGCGGCUCUGCAAGUUGGGUGUGAAAUCCCUCGGCUCAACCGAGGAAUGGCGCCCAAAACUGUGGAGCUCGAGGGAGACAGAGGUGAGUGGAACUUGUGGUGGAGCGGUGAAAUGCGUUGAUAUCACAAGGAACACCGGUGGCGAAAGCGGCUCACUGGGUCUCUUCUGACGCUGAGGCACGAAAGCUGGGGAGCGAACGGGAUUAGAUACCCCGUACGUCCUCGA